AAAUCUGGCGUCUUUGGCGUCCGAGUUGUAAUUUGAAGAAGGUAUCUUUGGGCCCGGCUCUUGUCUAUGUUCCUUGGAACAGGACGUCACAGAGGGUGAGAAUCCCGUGCGAUGAGAUGACCCGGGUCUGUGUAAAGUUCCUUCGACGAGUCGAGUUGUUUGGGAAUGCAGCUCUAAGUGGGUGGUAAAUUCCAUCUAAAGCUAAAUAUUGGCGAGAGACCGAUAGCGAACAAGUACAGUGAUGGAAAGAUGAAAAGAACUUUGAAAAGAGAGUGAAAAAGUACGUGAAAUUGUUGAAAGGGAAGGGCUUGAGAUCAGACUUGGUAUUUUGCAUGUUGCUCUCUCGGGGGCGGCCGCUGCGGUUUACCGGGCCAGCAUCGGUUUGGAGCGGCAGGAUAAUGGCGGAGGAAUGUGGCACGGCUUCUGCUGUGUGUUAUAGCCUCUGACGAUACUGCCAGCCUAGACCGAGGACUGCGGUUUUUACCUAGGAUGUUGGCAUAAUGAUCUUAAGUCGCCCGUCUUGA
RNAcentral lists this ribosomal RNA (524 nucleotides) under Candida albicans. RNAcentral describes it as "partial large subunit ribosomal RNA". It matches the Rfam family "Eukaryotic large subunit ribosomal RNA", at positions 118 to 657 of the family's 3401-position model. The record is from RNAcentral. Lineage: Eukaryota; Fungi; Ascomycota; Pichiomycetes; Serinales; Debaryomycetaceae.